This 497-nucleotide ribosomal RNA is filed under the name uncultured bacterium. RNAcentral describes it as "partial 16S ribosomal RNA". It matches the Rfam family "Bacterial small subunit ribosomal RNA", at positions 28 to 507 of the family's 1533-position model. The record is from RNAcentral.
GACGAACGCUGGCGGCGUGCCUAAUACAUGCAAGUAGAACGCUGAAGAGAGGAGCUUGCUCUUCUUGGAUGAGUUGCGAACGGGUGAGUAACGCGUAGGUAACCUGCCUGGUAGCGGGGGAUAACUAUUGGAAACGAUAGCUAAUACCGCAUAAAAUUGAUUAUUGCAUGAUAAUUAAUUGAAAGAUGCAACUGCAUCACUACCAGAUGGACCUGCGUUGUAUUAGCUAGUUGGUGAGGUAACGGCUCACCAAGGCGACGAUACAUAGCCGACCUGAGAGGGUGAUCGGCCACACUGGGACUGAGACACGGCCCAGACUCCUACGGGAGGCAGCAGUAGGGAAUCUUCGGCAAUGGGGGGAACCCUGACCGAGCAACGCCGCGUGAGUGAAGAAGGUUUUCGAAUCGUAAAGCUCUGUUGUAAGAGAAGAACGGGUGUGAGAGUGGAAAGUUCACACUGUGACGGUAUCUGACCAGAAAGGGACGGCUAACUACGUG